GACGAACGCUGGCGGCGUGCUUAACACAUGCAAGUUGAACGUGAUUUUAUAGACAGAUUUCUUCGGAAUGACGAUUAUAAAUGAAAGUAGCGAACGGGUGAGUAACACGUGAGAAACCUGCCUUUCACAAAGGGAUAGCCUCGGGAAACCGGGAUUAAUACCUUAUGAUACAUAGAAAUCGCAUGAUAGCUAUGUUAAAGAUUUUAUCGGUGAAAGAUGGUCUCGCGUCUGAUUAGCUAGUUGGUGGGGUAAAGGCCUACCAAGGCGAUGAUCAGUAGCCGGAUUGAGAGGUUGAACGGCCACACUGGAACUGAGACACGGUCCAGACUCCUACGGGAGGCAGCAGUGGGGAAUUUUGCACAAUGGGGGAAACCCUGAUGCAGCGACGCCGCGUGUACGAUGAAGAUCUUCGGAUUGUAAAGUACUGUCCUUGGUGAAGAUAAUGACUGUAACCAAGAAGCAAGCCCUGGCUAAAUACGUGCCAGCAGCCGCGGUAAUACGUAUGGGGCAAGCGUUGUCCGGAAUUAUUGGGCGUAAAGGGUACGUAGGCGGUUAUUUAAGUCUAAAUUAAAAGGCAUUGGCUCAACCAAUGUAAGGUUUAGAUACUGGAUAACUUGAGUAGAUGAGGGGAAAGUGGAAUUCCAUGUGUAGCGGUGAAAUGCGUAGAUAUAUGGAGGAACACCAAUGGCGAAGGCAACUUUCUGGAAUCAAACUGACGCUGAGGUACGAAGGCGUGGGGAGCAAACAGGAUUAGAUACCCUGGUAGUCCACGCAGUAAACGAUGAGUGCUAGAUGUUGGGAGUCAAAUCUCAGUGUCGCAGCUAACGCAAUAAGCACUCCGCCUGGGGAGUACGUACGCAAGU
This 863-nucleotide ribosomal RNA is filed under the name uncultured Clostridia bacterium. RNAcentral describes it as "bacterial SSU rRNA". It matches the Rfam family "Bacterial small subunit ribosomal RNA", at positions 28 to 893 of the family's 1533-position model. The record is from RNAcentral. Lineage: Bacteria; Bacillati; Bacillota; Clostridia.